CUUGACCGAGCCCAACCACAGCGGCUGCUCGCGGUCCUGGCCGUAGGUGGCCAGCAGUGCCUGUGCCUC
RNAcentral lists this antisense RNA (69 nucleotides) under Actinophytocola oryzae. RNAcentral's name for it is "ASpks TB sRNA". It matches the Rfam family "ASpks TB sRNA". The record is from Rfam by way of RNAcentral. Lineage: Bacteria; Bacillati; Actinomycetota; Actinomycetes; Pseudonocardiales; Pseudonocardiaceae.